GGAAAAGAAACCAACAGGGAUUGCCCCAGUAACGGCGAGUGAAGCGGCAACAGCUCAAAUUUGAAAUCUGGCCCCAGGCCCGAGUUGUANUUUGCAGAGGAUGCUUUGGGUGCGGCGCCUUCCAAGUCCCCUGGAACGGGGCGCCUUGGAGGGUGAGAGCCCCGUNCGGUCGGCAGCCGCGCCCGUGUGAAGCUCCCUCGACGAGUCGAGUAGUUUGGGAAUGCUGCUCUAAAUGGGAGGUAGACUCCUUCUAAAGCUAAAUAUAGGCCAGAGACCGAUAGCGCACAAGUAGAGUGAUCGAAAGAUGAAAAGUACUUUGAAAAGAGGGUUAAACAGCACGUGAAAUUGUUGAAGGGGAAGCGCUGGUGACCAGACGUGCCCCGUGGCGAUCCUCUGGCGUUCUCGCCAGGGCACUCGCCGCGGGGCAGGCCAGCGUCGGUUCGGGCGGGGGGAGAAGAACGACGGGAACGUAGCUCCUCCGGGAGUGUUAUAGCCCGGCGUACGAUGCCCCCGCCGGGACCGAGGUCCGCGCUCUGCAAGGACGCUGGCGUAAUGGUUACCAGCGGCCCGUCUUGAAACACGGACCAAGGAGUCGAGGUUCUGCGCGAGUGUUUGGGUGGCAAACCCGUACGCGCAAUGAAAGUGAACGCUGGUGAGAGAUUCGUCGCAUCACCGACCGAUCCUGAUGUCUUCGGAUGGAUUUGAGUAGGAGCGUAGGGCCUCGGACCCGAAAGAUGGUGAACUAUGCUUGGAUAGGGUGAAGCCAGAGGAAACUCUGGUGGAGGCUCGCAGCGGUUCUGACGUGCAAAUCGAUCGUCAAAUAUGGGCAUGGGGGCGAAG
Molecule: ribosomal RNA, 840 nt
Filed under: Linkosia sp. HKUCC 10826
Lineage: Eukaryota; Fungi; Ascomycota
Description: eukaryotic LSU rRNA
Rfam family: Eukaryotic large subunit ribosomal RNA
Source: RNAcentral